UGUAAAACUCGAAGUGUGGGCACAGAAUUGAAUUCAGAUCUUCCAAGAUGAUAAGCAGUUUCUUUAUCAUAUGAUUUAUGUGCUUAUUUGUUAAUAUAAUUAUUUUUAAUAAUAUAUCUUUGUGACACAUUAUAACAUUGUUUGGCAAAUGCUAAGAAACAUAAUCAUUUUUCCAAUAAAAAGCCAAUGACUCUCAGAAUCAUCCAAAAAAAGUUAUUGCUUUACAAACUUCUUCACAAGAUAUUGCUUCUUUAAAAACUUGUUAGUGCAGUUAUGACUUCUUGCAACACUAUUAUGUUAAUGCAAGCAUUGGGUACAAAUUUUAGAAGGCUAUGCUCAUUGUGCAUGUGUAGAAAUGUUUGAGAGAUGGCAUUUAUCAGAUUGAUUGCAGGUGAGCUAUGGGUUAGCUUGAAGAUGAACCAACUGUCACUCAAAUUGUGCAGUUUUUGAUGUGGAAAAGUAUCAUUUUUCAUUUCUGGAAAGUUGCAAAAUGUAGAGAAAGUUGUGUGCAUACACAGAGGUGAUCAUGAAAAAGGUGCCACUCAAGAGGACUGAUAUCUCUUUCUUGGCAAGAAGGAACAGGAUAGCAACCCUCAUCCAGUUAAUUGCAGACCUUGCACAUGACACAGGCACUCUUGUCUUCCUAAUCAGCAGGUGAUUGAACAGCAUCAGGUUAUAUGCCAGAAAAUUUGCCAGAUGUAUUCAAUUGUUUAUCAGCUAUCAGAAAAAAAGAUUAAAAUAGUGCAGAAAGUAUGUAGAUUGGAAUGCCAAUUAGUAGUACAAAGAUUCAAAGUGGUGUUCUCAGAUAAGUCCAGAUUCAGUCUGAGCAUGAUUCUGGACAUCAGCUGUUGGUGUGAAUAUGGAACACAUCAUGCAGAACUAAACAUAAUGAAACAUGAUUGUUAUAGGAUCCUGGUGUCAUGGUUUGGAUAGGCCUUAUGAUUACACUGAACAUAUUUUUUUAGAAAAAAUAAUCAAACAAAUAAUGACAAAUCAAAAAUUAUUUCAUAAUAAGAAAAAGCAGGUUGUGUUUGUUUCACUAACCUGAAAGCCCUAUAAUAUUUAUUAUAAAAUAUAAUAAACAAUAUCAAUAAUAAACAAC
RNAcentral lists this long non-coding RNA (1102 nucleotides) under Androctonus crassicauda. Lineage: Eukaryota; Metazoa; Arthropoda; Arachnida; Scorpiones; Buthidae. The record is from RNAcentral.